This 351-nucleotide unclassified non-coding RNA is filed under the name Hevea brasiliensis (rubber tree). Lineage: Eukaryota; Viridiplantae; Streptophyta; Magnoliopsida; Malpighiales; Euphorbiaceae. The record is from RNAcentral.
CCGCGAGGAGAUCGUCGAGGGGCGAGCGUUACAGCUCGCUGUCUACCGCGGUAUCGCCAGCACCGAGGGCGAGGUAAGCGAUGGCGGCUAUUUCCUGCUCCGCCAGCGGCGCAUUCUCGCUUCUGUCGGCUCGAUCCUGGCCGACGAUGCUUUGGAAGCCAGUAGAACCGAGACCGAAACAUUGCAUCAGCUAAGCUCCGACUGGGCAAUAUGGCGCGAUCUCGCGAUUAAAGGAAUUGUUCUGGCGGCUGGCGUGGAGGGUGUCGCCGAUCGCCGGCCUGUUGAACUCGGGUUCGAGCCCGCUACCGAACCCUGUCGUUUUUGCGACCUGACCAACCUUUGCCGCGUGAA